This 463-nucleotide ribosomal RNA is filed under the name uncultured bacterium. Its description in RNAcentral is "partial 16S ribosomal RNA". It matches the Rfam family "Bacterial small subunit ribosomal RNA", at positions 28 to 523 of the family's 1533-position model. The record is from RNAcentral.
GAUGAACGCUGGCGGCGUGCCUAAUACAUGCAAGUCGAGCGGCAGCACGGUCUUCGGACUGGUGGCGAGCGGCGGACGGCUGAGUAACGCGUAGGAACGUACCCCAAAGUGAGGAAUAACUGCCCGAAAGGGUGGCUAAUGCCGCAUGUGGGCUUCGGACUAAAGUCUUUGGACGCUUUGGGAACGGCCUGCGUAAGAUUAGCUUGUUGGUGAGGUAAUGGCUCACCAAGGCGACGAUCUUUAGCUGGUCUGAGAGGAUGAUCAGCCAGACUGGAACUGAGACACGGUCCAGACUCCUACGGGAGGCAGCAGUAGGGAAUUUUCCACAAUGGGCGAAAGCCUGAUGGAGCAACGCCGCGUGCAGGAUGAAUGCCUUCGGGUUGUAAACUGCUUUUAUGUGCGAAGAAUAUGACGGUAACACAUGAAUAAGGGUCGGCUAACUACGUGCCAGCAGCCGCGGUAA